AUAGGGGAGCCGAAGGGAAACCGAGUCUUAACUGGGCGUUAAGUUGCAGGGUAUAGACCCGAAACCCGGUGAUCUAGCCAUGGGCAGGUUGAAGGUUGGGUAACACUAACUGGAGGACCGAACCGACUAAUGUUGAAAAAUUAGCGGAUGACUUGUGGCUGGGGGUGAAAGGCCAAUCAAACCGGGAGAUAGCUGGUUCUCCCCGAAAGCUAUUUAGGUAGCGCCUCGUGAACUCAUCUUCGGGGGUAGAGCACUGUUUCGGCUAGGGGGUCAUCCCGACUUACCAACCCGAUGCAAACUGCGAAUACCGAAGAAUGUUAUCACGGGAGACACACGGCGGGUGCUAACGUCCGUCGUGAAGAGGGAAACAACCCAGACCGCCAGCUAAGGUCCCAAAGUCACAGUUAAGUGGGAAACGAUGUGGGAAGGCUCAGACAGCCAGGAUGUUGGCUUAGAAGCAGCCAUCAUUUAAAGAAAGCGUAAUAGCUCACUGGUCGAGUCGGCCUGCGCGGAAGAUGUAACGGGGCUAAACUGUGCACCGAAGCUGCGGCAGCGACGCUUAUGCGUUGUUGGGUAGGGGUGCGUUCUGUAAGCCUGCGAAGGUGUCCUGUGAGGGAUGCUGGAGGUAUCAGAAGUGCGAAUGCUGACAUAAGUAACGAUAAUGCGGGUGAAAAGCCCGCUCGCCGGAAGACCAAGGGUUCCUGUCCAACGUUAAUCGGGGCAGGGUGAGUCGACCCCUAAGGCGAGGCCGAAAGGCGUAGUCGAUGGGAAACGGGUUAAUAUUCCCGUACUUGGUGUUACUGCGAAGGGGGGACGGAGAAGGCUAUGUUGGCCGGGCGACGGUUGUCCCGGUUUAAGCGUGUAGGCUGGUUUUCCAGGCAAAUCCGGAAAAUCAAGGCUGAGGCGUGAUGACGAGGCACUACGGUGCUGAAGCAACAAAUGCCCUGCUUCCAGGAAAAGCCU
This 963-nucleotide ribosomal RNA is filed under the name Salmonella enterica subsp. enterica serovar Kentucky. RNAcentral's name for it is "partial 23S ribosomal RNA". It matches the Rfam family "Bacterial large subunit ribosomal RNA", at positions 657 to 1620 of the family's 2925-position model. The record is from RNAcentral. Lineage: Bacteria; Pseudomonadati; Pseudomonadota; Gammaproteobacteria; Enterobacterales; Enterobacteriaceae.